UACGUAGGUGGCAAGCGUUGUCCGGAUUUACUGGGCGUAAAGAGCGCGCAGGCGGUCGUUCAAGUCGUGUGUGAAAGCCCCCGGCUCAACUGGGGAGGGUCACGCGAUACUGAUCGACUCGAAGGCAGGAGAGGGAAGUGGAAUUCCCGGUGUAGUGGUGAAAUGCGUAGAUAUCGGGAGGAACACCGGUGGCGAAGGCGACUUCCUGGCCUGUUCUUGACGCUGAGGCGCGAAAGCUAGGGGAGCAAACGGG
Molecule: ribosomal RNA, 253 nt
Filed under: uncultured bacterium
Lineage: Bacteria
Description: partial 16S ribosomal RNA
Rfam family: Bacterial small subunit ribosomal RNA
Source: RNAcentral